Vespa mandarinia (Asian giant hornet) is the source of this 2304-nucleotide long non-coding RNA. NCBI's taxonomy places the organism in Eukaryota, Metazoa, Arthropoda, Insecta, Hymenoptera, Vespidae. The record is from RefSeq and is a predicted model, not a curated record.
GAUUUACGGUACUUUAACAGAUAGUUACAUAUUUUGAUAAAAGGAGUGAAGUUCAUUAUUUACAUUUUCUAAAAUAAAGUAUACCUCAGUAACAUUAAUGUUUGGAUUAUAAUGUUAUAUAAAUACUUUUAUUAUAUAAAAUAUAAUUUUUUCAACAAAUUAUCGAUCAAAUAUAUAUUUAUCUUUUAUUAGUAAAUUUUUAUGACGUCACUUACAAUAUCGUGUAGAAAAAUUAUAUAGUGACAUGUGAAAAAAUGAAUGUGUGAUCUCGAUUUUAUUUUUAUUGAGAAAAUAUGAUCUCUGGAAUUUUUAUUUUUGUAAUUCGUUGACGAUUGUAUACAGUAUGUGUUUUCUCUCAGAAUCGAUUUUGUCGUACGAACGUGAUAAUUUUUUGAUUCUUUCUCCUGUUGUUCUAGUGCAUUAAUCUUGUUUAUUAAUUAUUAGAUUUAACCAUGAUACGAGGUAAAACAAUGUUUAAAACAGUAAAAAACAAUGGGAAUUGAUACUACAGAAUUAUAUCGAAAAUUGCGAAUGAGGUUAGGAUUGAAACUAUAUCCUAUACAUCGGUUUCACAGACUUGUACUCCUUCAAGUUACUUUAAGAAUGAAAUGAAGUCUAUUCAAAUAAGAUAAAUUUGAAUGAAAGAGAUAUUAAUAUAACUGUAGAUUUGGAUAUAUUCAAAUCCGCUGUUCGAUGAGUUUACAAGUUGCAGCAAGAAAGAAAAUAAACAUCGUGGAAGAUGUUCAGAACAAUUUUUUACAUCAAACAGAUCAUCUGACAGAUGUCGUCAAUCAGCUAUUAAAAUAUUAUGGCCAGGCCGUAAGAAGCAGUGAACAUAAUCUAGAUAAUAUAUAGGACAACAUUUUUCCAUGAAAUUUUAAUACGGUCACAACUUUUGUUCAAACGAUUGAUUUAAAUGUAAAACUGCUGAAGCAGCUGAAAUUCUGUAUUGGUUAACUUGUAAAAGCUAUGCGUUAAUCUGUUAUAUCAGUUAUGAAGAUAAUUACCAGAAACUACUAUCGAAGAAUUAUAUAGGAAACAUUAAAUGUAAAUAAAUCAUUCUAUUGUAUUCUAUUGAUAAGAAUAUCAAAAAAUGUAUUUGUCUGUAUCUCAUAUCACAUCUUGGUAUAUAUGAUACUGUCAUCACAAUUAAUGAUAGUAAUGCUGGCAAAUAGAAAGUGGCUCAGAAUAGCUGGGAAUGGAAUACGACAGUCGUAGCUGAGGAUAUGAAAUGAUUUUUGAGACAAAGUUACAAGCUUGAAAAAUUUCUAAGAAAAUGUUAUCUUUGAUAAGCUUGGACGAUUUGGAAGGAGAUAAAUUUUACAAUAGCGGAGGAUUUUGGUUGCUUUUUCUACUGAAAAACUAAUAAUACGUUUUCUCUCGAAUUAUUUAAGAUUUGCUCUUGAUUUUUCUACAGUUCAUUUAUAAUAUUCUUUUGAUACCGAAUAUUUAAGUUUAUAAUAAUUUUCAAAAGAAUAAAAAGAAGAUAAUUAUAAGUUAGAAUAAUUAGAUAGAACAAAAAUUUCAUUUUGAUCCCGAACAUAUGUAGUCCAGUGAAACUAGAGAAGUAAGUUCACGAAGCAUAUAAAUGACUUAGUAAAGUUUCAUUACUUAUUGAGCAGAUGGAUCAUGAAGUUGGUAAAUGUAACAUUAGUGGGAUUGAUUAUUCAUAUUGUUGUUAACACUUGCUAUUUCUUGUUAUUGUUUUUUGCACGUUUGCAUCUCGGAAAAAUAUAUGCAGGAUUUAAUUAUCGUAGGCUGUAAUUGUCAAACUUUAUUAGUAUAUUUUAUUAGUCGAAAUAGGAAAAAGAAAAUGUUAUAUAAACAUGAAUUGUUUCUUUUUAAGUAUUAUUAAAAUGUUAUUACAAUAUAUGAGAAGAACAAUAUCGGAUACUUCAUAAAAAUCAGGAAAUUGCUGACUAUUCUAUUAAUUGUAAAUAACACUCUAAGAAGUUACUAAAAAAUUCUUAAUGUUGUCGAAUGGCAAUAAUGUUUUAACAUUAAUACUAAAAUGCGGACGAACAGGAAAAGUCUGUUGCAACAAAUUAGUUGAAAUUGAACAUUUUGACCGAAAUUACGCCAACUAAUUUAGUGUUAAAAAUUAUGGUUUAAUAGAAUUCUUUCAAAGUCAUAUUUCUCAUGUAGUAACACAAUUAUGAGCAUUGUUUAUCAGUCGGGAGACUCAAAUCAAUACCUCUUAUAAUUUUCAAAAGUCUAUAGUUAAAUAUUGCAAAAUGCAACUGUUUAAGUUUGUACGGAUGUAAAAAAAAUAUGAUUCUUGAUAUUAUACUUAUAAUUAUUUUU